UUGGCUUUGCAAAGUUUGCUAGUCCCUCGCUCCUCUACAAUACUCUGAUAUCCUGGAGCAGACUUUCUACUGCAGUGAGCCCUAUGGCUUGGUUUCUGCUGGUAGAAUUUGAUGUACACUCUCAGCAUUUUAAUCUUUAUUGUGAACACUGGGGGAGGUCAGUGUGACUUACACUAAACAGCUCUGACAGUGAGGAAGGUUUGAAGUGAGCGCUAUGCCGCCAACGUAACAGAACUGCACAAACGAAGCAGAGGUGCAAGAGGAUUUAUAGCUCUAUGCAAAGGAUGGAAAAUAAUUAUUUGAAAGCUGUUCACAGGAAUUUACUGGGCUUGAUGAAAGUUUUGUCUAUCAAGGGUGCUCAUGUCUGCAGGGGAAUUUCUGCUCAGCACAAGACAGAAUAACCCACCCCAGAAUAACCAGAUGAGUACUCACCGGAGCUUGGGUUAAAAAUGACAGCUCUAUUGUUCUUGCUUGAAGAGCACAUCACACGUGUUUCUGUCCCUGAAUGUGAUGCCAACACAUAUGAUCAAAUUAAAUCAGCCUGGCUCAAGUACAUUUUAGAAACAACACAGUGCUGAACAUGUGAAAUUAAAUGCCUCAAACCCCUCACCCAGCAACCCGCCACCUGCAGCUCUACUAACUAUAUGCACAUGGCCUGUGGCUUUCCCCCUACAUGAAGAGAAGAAGGAGCAGAAGUCAAUUCAUCUGAUGGAGUGUCCUGUUUCAUCUCAUCUUCAGAAAUGCAGUUGCUCAGCAAAAUUACAACUCAGAAAAACAAGAAAAGAAACCAGGAAAGCAAACAUAACAUAACAUUAUAUAACAGAUUGAAAGAACAGUAACAGAAGUAUCAGGGCUUUACCCUCCCCCCGCCCCCCCAAACGAGCACUGUUACUCAAAUUUGCUGGCUUUCACUGUGGAAAACCCUAGGUCUCCAUUCCCAAAGUAGUUUUGGCAAUGCGUGGGGUAGGAGCUGGUGACCCUCUGCUAUGGCAAUGCAUGCUAGACAACAUGUGAAUUCUUAGACAGGACAGAGUCAUUCAAAGUAUCCAUUGGAACAAGUCAAACCCUGAAGUGCAGAAGUUUAAAUACCACAUUUUGUGCCUUUGGGAGAACCCUGCAGCAGAGA
Molecule: long non-coding RNA, 1126 nt
Organism: Alligator sinensis (Chinese alligator)
Lineage: Eukaryota; Metazoa; Chordata; Crocodylia; Alligatoridae
Exons: 5
Source: RefSeq, a predicted model, not a curated record